UAUUUAAAAAAAAAUCAUCAUGAUUUAUUAUAUUAACUGCUAUAAAAACAAACCAAAAAAAAAAAAAAAAAGACAAUAUGGAAGCCUUCCUGGGACAAGUUCGGCAGUGUGCAUCAAUGCUACUUCCCAUGGUGUUAAGUUGGGAACAUUUGGCACGAAGCAUUAUUAUUAUUAUUAGUAUUAUUUUUAUACAGCCGCUUGCUGAGGAUCGCAAAACUGAUCCUGAAAACCCCAGACAGCAGAAAGAGGAACACACACCUUCCUGGAAAGAAAAGUCACCAUCAAUCAGGCCAAAACGCCAACUGUGUCCAGCAUUCCUCCCAACUCUCAUUCCCAAGCGGAGGACGUGUUGGGAACUGAUUAUCCAGGCUCCGUUUGGUUUUCCAAAAAUCGACGUUCUGCUCCUGGGUUUUGGAUCCGGGUCAAAUUCGGCCCUACAAACGACAACGUCUGACAGAAUAUUCCUACAGAGUUGUGGUCGGAGUAAAACGUCUUGUCUCAGAAGAACAAAAAAAGUUCUUAAUCUAACAGACAACAGGUAAAUAAAGUAAUCAUCUCCUCAUUUUGGAGUGUUACAGCUCUGACUGAGAGUGCAUCGUUCUGAGCUGUAACCUGAUUAUUGCUCUUAAAUAUUUGAUUAAAAUUCACUUUAAAAACAUCUUUUUAUACAUGAACAGUUUCCUCUUAGUUCAGGAAGAGGCUGGUUGCCUCCUGGUGGGUCUGGACUGAAACUCUGUCACUUUAUGUUGUUGCUGGAGCUGUGAGAGUGUGUUCACACACACCACUCAACAUGAUGUGCCAAUCCCCACAAGUUCAUUCAAUUGCUAAUGAAAAAAAACAAGCAAACAAAAACAGAAACAGACUCAUCAGGUUUUGUUGCAUAAACUGAUUCAACCAACUUGCGAAUACAUUUUUGCCCCUUAUCUGCUCUUCUCUCAUAAAAUUAAGCACAAAAAGAAACAUUCAGAGAAAGGAACCACUCCACGCCAACUCAACUAGCCUUUAAAGUUUAUGCUUCCAAUUUUCUCGAGAAAACAGAAAGUAAAAAGGCUUCCAGACCUCACAGAAACCUUGCAGUUAUUCAAGUAAAAUUUGCACUGAACAGUUCAAGGUAAUGAAUUUAUUCUAUACGUUUAAUCAUUUUAUGUAAAUUUGGAAAAUACAAAAAAAAAAAUCCUUUCACAAAUUUACUAAAUAUUACUAAGACAUUUUGGGUGUGGUUUUUUUCCCCCACGACUAAGCUAACUUCUCUACUUAUUAGUUUAUUAAAAGUUGAAAUUUGCUGCCUAAUUCUGUCAUUAAGUCAAUUUCUUUAUACGUUUUACUUCCAGUGCCAAUUUGUAUUUUGACAGACUUGUAAAAUUAACAGCAAUAUGUUAUAUUUGGUUGUUUCUCCAAGUAAACACAUCCUAAUUAAUCUUAAGCUAUUACAUUAGAUAUUUAGCUAUAAUUAAGCAUAAUUUGCUUUCCUUACAAAUUAUUGUUAGGGUUUAUGGAUGUUCAGCACAACCUUACACCAAGUCCACGUCAAAAAUGAUGAAUUUAAUGCAGACAUUUCUUAGGUUUUAUACUACAUGAAUAAUCUUUUGAAAUUAUGCCAAAUUUUAUGAUUCUACUUUUAAAAUUUUUAUCUGAAAGAAAAUCUGCAACAUAAAUAUCAAUGACACGGCUAGCUUGGUAUAGAGCAAACCAUGAGAAGAAGCUAAACAUAUGAAAUAAUUUAAGGAAAUAUUAGAGGUUACAUUUUCCAAAUGUUUUCUGGCUAGCAUUUCAGCUAACAACCAUCAGUGAAGAAUUUAACAAAACUGAAUAUAUGUAUGCGAUUUUGGACAGAUGUAUAUUUUGUAUAUAUUGUAUAUAACAGGAUAUUUUGGACAGGACAUAACAUAGCCUUACACAUCCUAGCUUGGAGUAGGAUACAGCCUAGCUUGAAGCAGGUUAUAGCCUAGCUUGAAGUAGGUUAUAGCCUAGCCUGAAGCAGGUUAUAGCCCAUCUUGAAGCAGGUUAUAGCCCAUCAUGAAGCAGGUUAUAGCCUAGCUUGAAGCAGGUUAUAGCCCAGCUUGAAGCAGGUUAUAGCCUAGCUUGAAGCAGGUUAUAGCCUAGCCUGAAGCAGGUUAUAGCCUAGCUUGAAGCAGGUUAUAGCCAAUCUUGAAGCAGGUUAUAGCCUAGCCUGAAGCAGGUUAUAGCCUAGCCUGAAGCAGGUUAUAGCCUAGCCUGAAGCAGGUUAUAGCCUAGCUUGAAGCAGGUUAUAGCCUAGCUUGAAGCAGGUUAUAGCCUAGCCUGAAGCAGGUUAUAGCCUAGCCUGAAGCAGGUUAUAGCCCAUCUUGAAGCAGGUUAUAGCCAAUCUUGAAACAGGUUAUAGCCUAGCUUGAAGCAGGUUAUAGCCUAGCUUGAAGCAGGUUAUAGCCUAGCCUGAAGCAGGUUAUAGCCUAGCCUGAAGCAGGUUAUAGCCUAGCUUGAAGCAGGUUAUAGCCUAGCUUGAAGCAGGUUAUAGCCUAGCCUGAAGCAGGUUAUAGCCUAGCCUGAAGCAGGUUAUAGCCCAUCUUGAAGCAGGUUAUAGCCAAUCUUGAAACAGGUUAUAGCCUAGCUUGAAGCAGGUUAUAGCCUAGCUUGAAGCAGGUUAUAGCCUAGCUUGACGCAGGUUAUAGCCUAGCUUGAAGCAGGUUAUAGCCAAUCUUGAAACAGGUUAUAGCCUAGCCUGAAGCAGGUUAUAGCCUAGCCUGAAGCAGGUUAUAGCCUAGCUUGACGCAGGUUAUAGCCCAUCUUGAAGCAGGUUAUAGCCAAUCUUGAAACAGGUUAUAGCCUAGCUUGAAGCAGGUUAUAGCCUAGCUUGACGCAGGUUAUAGCCUAGCUUGAAGCAGGUUAUAGCCUAGCUUGAAGUGGGAAACAACCCAUCCUGAUACACAGCCUGAAGUGGUAUCUGUCCUUCAACUCUGCAGAAAAAAAACUUUUUUGUGGGGCCCAUUUGGAGAGGCCUCUGAAUUUGGAUAUUGUUGUGACAUAAUCAACCUUCAAAUGUAGCCCCUGAAUUUUGACAGACCCACAGGCAACAGCUUGAAGUAAGAUGAAGCCUAGCUUAAACAGCGAUAAAGCCUAGUUUGAGUUGAACCAUAGACCUUCUUAAAAGUUGCAUAAAAUCCAGCUCGAUGUGGGAUAGAACCUAGCAUAAUUUCAUUAGGCUAACUACUAGUUGAGGUAAAAAGUUAUAGUUUUGGAAAGCAAAACUUUCACAGUUUCAUAUGCGUUACCAAAAUGAUAAAAAUUGGGGUUCAUAUAGUGGCCAAAAGCUGUUUUAUAGUCACUUAACAAAAAUAGGUUGUCCAUAUGAUUUAUGUUAGCAAGCAAAUUUAGCCGUCUCCCUGCUUUUCGUCUUUAUGCUAAACAAAUCCAAGCUAAGCACAUUUUUAAAAAAAUAUUUAAAAAAAUUAAAACAUGUGAGACUCAUGGACACGCAAAAUUAUGAACUAUGGUUAAUGCAAAUAAUAAAAAAAAAAGCAACUGAGUUUCUUGUAUCAUAAUGAAUUAGCAUCAUGUGCUCACGCUGGCUAGCAUUUUCAGCAGCCAGUUUUUAAAAUUCGAAAGCAGCAGGCUUUUAGUGGGGGAAGGAGAAAGAUUUAUGUUGCUCAUGACAAACAUCAUACUGUUACUAAACAGUACAUGCAACCCUUUGUCGCACAGCACUCACACACUGUACAAAACACACACAAGACUCAGGCAAAAAUAACAUCUGGAUACAUUUCUGAAUACUUAUAAAAGAGGAGUGUUUUCCGCUGCCGCCAGUAGCGACUGUUCAAGUGUCGGUCCGGUAAUCUGAACUAAGCACACUCCACAAAUAUUGGCACUGUGUACAGUAUAUCUCACACACAAACACACCGACUGCAUAUCUUUUUGUAAAGCUUAAAAAUGUCUCUUUAAUGUCACUUUAAAAUCUCUCAAUUUUCAAAAGAUGACGAAGAAAAGAAAAAAAGAAAGUCCUGACAAUAAAGUUAGUUAUUUUCCUUUUUUGUUAAAAUAGGAUCACUCUGGGAUGGUAGUGCAACGCCUCUCAUUUGGAAACAUGAAGCACAUUUUUUAUUUUCAUGUUUACUCCACAAACUCCUCUAUGGCAGAAGGAAGGCUCGGGCUUCAAGAUGAAGAAAAAAAAAAAA
Long non-coding RNA from Xiphophorus maculatus (southern platyfish), 4148 nucleotides. RefSeq lists it as uncharacterized. The record is from RefSeq and is a predicted model, not a curated record. The transcript is spliced from 2 exons. Lineage: Eukaryota; Metazoa; Chordata; Actinopteri; Cyprinodontiformes; Poeciliidae.